AUCUCUGUAGAGUCUGCAUAUCAAUAAGCGGAGGAAAAGAAACUAACAAGGAUUCCCUUAGUAACGGCGAGUGAAGCGGGAAGAGCUCAAAUUUGAAAUCUUCAAGGUUCUACCUUGACGAAUUGUAGUUUAAAGAAGUGUUUUCUGUUAGAUGAGUAGCAAAAGUUCCUUGGAAUGGGACAUCAUAGAGGGUGAGAAUCCCGUAUUUGGUUAUUCAUUCUAGCUUUGUGAUACACUUUAAAGAGUCGGAUUGUUUGGGAAUGCAGUCCAAAAUGGGUGGUAAAUUUCAUCUAAAGCUAAAUAUUGGCGAGAGACCGAUAGCGAACAAGUACCGUGAGGGAAAGAUGAAAAGAACUUUGAAAAGAGAGUUAAACAGUACGUGAAAUUGUCAAAAGGGAAGCGUUUGACACCAGUGUUGUUUUUCCGAAAAUCAAUUACGAAUGGUUUGAUUUUGAGUAGUUAUGACCUUCAUCAGCUUUCUCACUUUCUUUAUGAGUACUUUCUUAAUGCACUUUUCGGUUAACAAGUCAACAUCAAUUUCUUUUGUUGUAAAAGAGUAUUAGGAAGGUGGCUUUCUUUUCGGAGAAAGUGUUUAUAGCCUUAUCCUCUACAAUCGGAGAGAUUGAGGUCUGCAGCGUAGAUCCUUCGGGGUUAGAUACAUUUGUGCUAAGUUGUAGCUUUUCAUAGACAACUUGUUGACUAUGUUUAGUCUUGUAGGCUUACUCGCUUAGUGCUAUUUUACCUACGCUUAGGAUGUUGACUGAUAUGUAGUCGUA
Molecule: ribosomal RNA, 776 nt
Filed under: uncultured Neocallimastigales
Lineage: Eukaryota; Fungi; Neocallimastigomycota; Neocallimastigomycetes; Neocallimastigales
Description: partial large subunit ribosomal RNA
Rfam family: Eukaryotic large subunit ribosomal RNA
Source: RNAcentral